UACGUAGGGACCAAGCGUUGUUCGGAUUUACUGGGCGUAAAGGGCGCGUAGGCGGCUUAACAAGUCACUUGUGAAAUCUCCGGGCUUAACUCGGAACGGCCAAGUGAAACUGUCAAGCUAGAGUGCAGAAGGGGCAAUCGGAAUUCUUGGUGUAGCGGUGAAAUGCGUAGAUAUCAAGAGGAACACCUGAGGUGAAGACGGGUUGCUGGGCUGACACUGACGCUGAGGCGCGAAAGCCAGGGGAGGCAAACGGG
This 254-nucleotide ribosomal RNA is filed under the name uncultured bacterium. RNAcentral's name for it is "partial 16S ribosomal RNA". It matches the Rfam family "Bacterial small subunit ribosomal RNA", at positions 524 to 776 of the family's 1533-position model. The record is from RNAcentral.